GACGCUGGCGGUAGGCCUUAUACAUGCAAGUCGAGCGAGAAAGUAUCUUCGGAUAUGAGUAGAGCGGCGGACGGGUGAGUAACGCGUAGGAAUCUACCUAGUAGAAGGGGAUAGCCCGGGGAAACUCGGAUUAAUACCGUAUACCUCCUUAGGGAGAAAGAGGGCCUCUCUUUGAUGCUCUUGCUACUAGAUGAGCCUGCGUAAGAUUAGCUAGUUGGUGAGGUAAUGGCUCACCAAGGCGACGAUCUUUAGCUGGUCUGAGAGGACGAUCAGCCACAUUGGGACUGAGACACGGCCCAGACUCCUACGGGAGGCAGCAGUAGGGAAUAUUGGACAAUGAGCGCAAGCUUGAUCCAGCCAUACCGCGUGUGUGAAGAAGGCUUUCGGGUUGUAAAGCACUUUAAGCAGGGAGAAAAAGUUAUAGGUUAAUACCCUAUGACCGUGAUGUUACCUGCAGAAUAAGCACCGGCUAAUUCCGUGCCAGCAGCCGCGGUAAUACGGAAGGUGCAAGCGUUAAUCGGAAUUACUGGGCGUAAAGCGCGCGUAGGUGGUUUGUUAAGUUGGAUGUGAAAGCCCUGGGCUCAACCUAGGAACUGCAUCCAAAACUAACUCACUAGAGUACGAUAGAGGGAGGUAGAAUUCAUAGUGUAGCGGUGGAAUGCGUAGAUAUUAUGAAGAAUACCAGUGGCGAAGGCGGCCUCCUGGAUCUGUACUGACACUGAGGUGCGAAAGCGUGGGUAGCGAACAGGAUUAGAUACCCUGGUAGUCCACGCCGUAAACGAUGACAACUAGCUGUUGGGAGACAAUGUCUUUCAGUGGCGCAGCUAACGUUUUAAGUUGUCCGCCUGGGGAGUACGGCCGC
RNAcentral lists this ribosomal RNA (862 nucleotides) under uncultured Gammaproteobacteria bacterium. RNAcentral describes it as "bacterial SSU rRNA". It matches the Rfam family "Bacterial small subunit ribosomal RNA", at positions 32 to 889 of the family's 1533-position model. Lineage: Bacteria; Pseudomonadati; Pseudomonadota; Gammaproteobacteria. The record is from RNAcentral.